RNAcentral lists this transfer RNA (65 nucleotides) under Lineus viridis. RNAcentral describes it as "tRNA-Thr". The record is from RNAcentral. Lineage: Eukaryota; Metazoa; Nemertea; Pilidiophora; Heteronemertea; Lineidae.
GCAGUCAAAGCUUUGCCGUAAGCAUCAAUUUUGUAAAUUGAAAAAAGAUUCUAAAUCUGACUGCU